This 72-nucleotide transfer RNA is filed under the name Karaftohelix adamsi. RNAcentral describes it as "tRNA-Lys". Lineage: Eukaryota; Metazoa; Mollusca; Gastropoda; Stylommatophora; Camaenidae. The record is from RNAcentral.
AUGCGUUGAUUUUUCUCUACAAAUCUAUGGCCGAGUAGGCGUUAGAUUUUUAAUCUAAUUACGGAAAUUCCU